Molecule: long non-coding RNA, 1349 nt
Organism: Lycium ferocissimum
Lineage: Eukaryota; Viridiplantae; Streptophyta; Magnoliopsida; Solanales; Solanaceae
Exons: 2
Source: RefSeq, a predicted model, not a curated record
GAAAUUGAUUGCUAUAUGGUAAUUGAGGUCAUAAUUUGCAAAAUUGGUCAUUUUACGCAUAUGGCCAUAUUUUAAAUUAACCAAUUGACCUUUAGUUAUAAUGAGGUCAUAAUUAAGUGGUUCAAUUAGUGGACAUUUUUUUAAUUUAGGCUAUUUGUGAAAAUGAUAUUUUUUACCCCUCCUUAUAUACACGUGUAUACACGGGUAUACAUGAAUAUACAUGUACAACCAUGUAUACAAGCAUAUCAGAAUUGGGCUAUAUUCCCACUCCUUUAUUUUCUCGGCCAGGUCUAGCCCAAUUAGAUCGACCCAACCCAAACACCAAAAAUAUAUAAGCCUUGGCUUAUACACAAACACACCCUUUCAGCCGAUCAACAAAGGAAACAAGGGUUUGCCUUCAAGCCCUAGCGCCGCCAGAGGGAGAAAACCUCUCUCCUCAUCACCACGUUGCCGAAAAUGGUAAAAUGUCAGGCGACGCGCCUUCGUCUCAGUCUGUGCUCGUGUAUUUCGGGUAAGAGCAUUAAUUGCUCUUACCAUCUAUCCUCACACCGUCGUUGAACAACCCAAACACGGUAGAAACCCUCUUCUUUCUCAUUCUUUUCCUUUCUGAAGAAUUAUAAUGGCAUUUGUCUUAUUAUUUUGCAAAAAGCAACAAUUUCCAUUGGCUAUCGGUUUAAUUUGUUUCAAAAGAAAAGGAAAAUCCACAAGAUUUCUUCAAAAUACCAAAGUCCCACAUCGAUUUCAAGAGAUAUCUGAGGACCUUGGGGGUUCUAUAUCAAGAACUCCCAAUUCACAAUAUACAGAGACUCAUUGAUAAUAACACACAUAAGACUCUAAUUUCAGAAAUAUUUUGAAAAUAGAGCAAAAAGUAUUAGUUCCAAUUUAACUAGGGUUUAGCUCUAAGCUGAAACCUUUACUUAAUUGGACUUUUUAGUCUAAAAACUUGCUUCUUUCUUUGUGGCUGAGUUCGGUGAGGAGCAUUUGGACUUCAAUUCCAUUCUCGAUCAAGGUUGCGCCAAAAAGAGGUAGAUAGGGAGACGGGCCAGACCCCCAGGAUGCUUCAUCAACGAUUGCAUAAGAGUGCUCCAUUUGAUCCGGAGCUGUAGUUUAGUUGGUACCAUUUCUUUUGUUUACAUACUUGGGCAUGGCGGGGUCCUGUCCCGUCUUUAAGAUGUUAUGCACUCCUUGUAGAGGCUUGUAGACAGAUGUAUAUAGUUAGAUGUUCCAUAACCUUACCGGUUCAUAUUUUUGUAUAUCAUUUUUGGCAGCCUUGUCGGCUUUUACAUAUGGGCAUAGUUGAUGAUGUUUAUAAAGACGUGCAUAUGUUCGUUGGAACUUGUGCCCCUUCA